This 465-nucleotide ribosomal RNA is filed under the name Vreelandella stevensii. Its description in RNAcentral is "partial 16S ribosomal RNA". It matches the Rfam family "Bacterial small subunit ribosomal RNA", at positions 338 to 795 of the family's 1533-position model. Lineage: Bacteria; Pseudomonadati; Pseudomonadota; Gammaproteobacteria; Oceanospirillales; Halomonadaceae. The record is from RNAcentral.
CCUACGGGAGGCUGCAGAGGGGAAUACUGGACAAUGGGGGCAACCCUGAUCCAGCCAUGCCGCGUGUGAGAAGAAGGCCCUCGGGUUGGAAAGCACUUUCAGUGAGGAAGAACGCCUGGUGGUUAAUACCCAUCAGGAAAGACAUCACUCACAGAAGAAGCACCGGCUAACUCCGUGCCAGCAGCCGCGGUAAUACGGAGGGUGCGAGCGUUAAUCGGAAUUACUGGGCGUAAAGCGCGCGUAGGUGGCUUGAUAAGCCGGUUGUGAAAGCCCCGGGCUCAACCUGGGAACGGCAUCCGGAACUGUCAAGCUAGAGUGCAGGAGAGGAAGGUAGAAUUCCCGGUGUAGCGGUGAAAUGCGUAGAGAUCGGGAGGAAUACCAGUGGCGAAGGCGGCCUUCUGGACUGACACUGACACUGAGGUGCGAAAGCGUGGGUAGCAAACAGGAUUAGAUACCCUUGUAGUC